UCAGUUUGACAAGCUUUACUGGCUGCAGAUCUGGGUUACAGCUUCAUCAUGCCACAAGUGUAACAAAGAGUGGUCUGAGACCGUUCAAAUAUAGCUGUACACAACUCUAAACAUACUGUUGAUAUUUAGUUGACCCUAAGAGAAAUCCAUGUACGGUAAAAACAAAGGACAACAUAUUUUAAAAAGCCUUAGGUGAACAUGUGGAAGGUCCCAAGAAGGAAAUACCAUAGCAAAACAUAUUUUGGGGACCUAAUAUAAUGUAAAUAAUGUGUACAGGGUUCCUCGGUCAGGGAUGGUUGUCGGAGGCCCCCGUCUCCAGCAAUCUAACACCAAAGUGUCUGGGGUAUUUGAGUGACACAGCUCCAACACUCUAGAGGCUAAUAUGACUGGCUGAAGAAACUCAUCCCAACAACAAUACAAUAUGAUACUGGGUAAAACACUGUGAUGGGUUGUACUCUACAUUCUAUUAUCCCCUUAUGGAAAUCUGUCUCAGACUCGAGUGCCGCUCAUGCUCAGCAGCCUCCACAGUAACAAGAAUAGAUUAAACAAACGAAUAUAAGUGUUAAAACUAACUAUAACCUUUUAUGUCAAGAGAACUCGAAACAACGAUAACACAACAAACAAGCAACAUGUACUGCGCAAGAGACAGAAGACAAAAACAUCAUAAAACUAUAUUCCUACAUUUUCAUACAUCAUGACCGACAAGAACCUCACACAACCACGCUUGAAAAAAUGACAAAAUUACAGACAUCUGGUCUAAAAUAUCAGCUGGUUAACUUGUGAUUCCUUUCAGGGGUCAAAGGUCAAGAAUUUGCCCGGUAGUUUGGGGUUAAAUGUGUGUCUGGUUUCUUGGUUUGUGAGUGUUGAAAAUAAUUCACUCAACUUUGACAGGUCAGCAUGCAAAGUGUAUUUUAGAGAGCCAGACCUGUCCCUGGGACUUUGUGGAGAAAAAGAGGACCUGGACAAACAUUCAGCAGGUGUAAGAUUCAAUACUUGCCCGUAUUCAUCUGUAGGUUUGCAGACGAACUGUUUGUUUCUGCUGCCCCCAUGUGUUAAAAUCUGUUAUUACAGGUUCUGUCUGUUCUCGCACAAACCUUUUGAACCUUUUGAAGAAUUUCUUGUAAACCCAGCUAUUUAAGGACCCCACCUUGCAAGGUUAUUGCUUUUUAAGGACCCAGUCUUUAAAGGACCCAUCUAUUGAAGGAUCUAGCUGAUGAAGGUCCAAGCCUUUGAAAGUCCAUAGCUGCGUCCGAAUUGCCAAGUAGUAGUCGAAGUAGUAUCUAGCAUGUCCGAAUUGGCCACCGGAGCGAGUAGCAUGCUACUUCAGAUACUACUUCAGAUGCUAGACAUGCCCACAUUGUAGGUUGGUCUCGGUGCAUCCUACGGGCAUGCUACUGACCCAAAAUGCACCGCGGGCUUCUUCUUCGUCCUCUUAAAAGUUGUAGAAGCGCAUGUGAUGCUAGCGCCACCAUCUGCUUCCUAUUUAGAUGCGUCGCGAACGCCGGCUGGCCACAGCAGCGCGCACCAUGUCGGAGCAGCAGCAGCAGCAGGCGGGACCGCAGCAGUACAGAUGUAAGUUUCAUGUAACUUCACACACUGUCCUAAAAAAUGUGCGGUUGUAUUUCUUUGUCAUGUCAUGGUGUCAUAUUUGCCCAAGUAAUCAUUUUAUGAGCAAGUGGCGACAUCAUGGAGGUAAAGCUCACUUAUUCCAUCAUUAAACUGCACAGCUGCAGUACUACAGCCAGGCCCGCAGAUGAAGGGCUUCAGUUACCACUGUCUGCACGGGCGCAGUACCUACUCUCUGCCUGCGGGGGUCGUCUUUCCCCACCGCUCGUGUAGUGUGUCCGAAUUGGGCCAACGUUUUUAGUAUGUAGGAGUAGGAUCUAGCAGUAGCACGUAGCAGUAGCAUGUAGUAUCCGAGCGGGCAGUUCGGACGCAGCACAUGUCUUUUAGAGGCCCAGCCUCAGCUAGACCUGUAUUCUGAAGGACCCAGCCUUUGAAGGGCUGAGCUUUGGAGGAUUUUGUCUUUUGAGGACCCAGUUUUUUAAGUUCUUAGCUGUCAGAAAAUAAAUUCUUGCAGUCAGCUGAGAAGGACAACAGAGAGUGUAGUCUUUGUCUUUAAAUCUUUUACUUUGAAGGAGUCAACACCUUAAAACAAAGUGGUAAGCAGUAAAACAAUAACCAAGUAUGGCAAAGGUUGAAUUUGUGGUCGAUGCCAGCAGAUCACAGAGAGCCUCGCGGUUCAUCAGGUUCCUGCUUAUCAAGUCAAAAGUCACACUGUUCUGAAAACAACCUGUAAGUUAAAUGAAAACAUUUAUUAAGUUGCAUAAGUUCAGUGGAAAAGUUCAGACAGUGAGUUAUGAGUUCAGUAAAAAAAUACAAAUGUUAGUUAACAACAGCCAUAACUUAAAGGUCACAGCGUUGUAAAUGCCUCAACAUCCUCACUUCUUUUUCACGUGUUCAUUGUCUAAAAGAAGCAGAUAUAAUCUUACAAGCAUUCACACAAAGUGAUUUUCAGUAAAUGAUGAUAACAUACACAUACAAUUUUUCUUUCACUGGCUUUUCAAGGACCCAGCUUUUAAAAGACUCUGCUUUUGCAGUAUUUUUAUUAAUCCAGAGGGCAUCUGAUUUUUCCCCGUUACAUGGCAGUUCAAUUAUUAGACAUUAAAUCAAUACUAGAUUGGUCUCAUAUAUGAAUAUCUAGAAUUAGAGUUGUCAUUUCAGGGACACCAACUUCUGCAGGAAAACUAAAAGACAAAAACUUUAAAUAAAUGGUGAAAUUAUGAGAGAAUGCUUAUGUUUAUACGCAGAUGCAAUAAAUAAUAAGAAAAUAAUGAUAAUUGAUACACAAUUCUGUGAAUGGAUACAUGAACAUUUUGAGGUGAGUCGUAAUUAUUGAGGUUAAUGAUAGUAAAUGAACAUGAACGUGUUAACAGUGGUCUGCAGAUAGCUUUGGGUAAGAAUUUGGCUCUUUUUGGGUAAAAAGUCCAGUCAACAAUUUCUACAAACUCUGAACACAUGCGACGGCAUCAACCCUUUUGUUCUUAGGAGAUUGAUUGGUUUGCCUACUUGUUUGAUGAUGAUUCUCAAGAGGACUCUUGGAGCAGUUCUGCAUGAGGUCCAGGCCUCUGGCAAGAUUAGGUCAUAUACAAAAACAGUUCCCCAUCCUAAGGAAACAUUUCAGUUGACAAUGAACCCAAAAAAGACGCCACCAGGAGGAGCUGUUGAUCUCUGAAAAAGUUGGAUUGAAUGUGAGACAAUGCUUUCUGUGCUUUUGAACCGCCUAGAAGUAUAGGAUGAAGGCCGUUUUACUGCAAAUGUUGUGUGAAGACAAGAAAUCAUCAUAAGGCCCAUCAAACAUGUGCAUUCAGCCUGCUGUUGUUCCUCUUUCCUAAACACGAGGACAAACAUCUUAAUCCAAUCUGACUGGAGUCUGGGUUCUGGGGCUGAAUGUUCCAAUGAUUAACAACUU
This 3472-nucleotide long non-coding RNA is filed under the name Xyrichtys novacula (pearly razorfish). Lineage: Eukaryota; Metazoa; Chordata; Actinopteri; Labriformes; Labridae. The record is from RNAcentral.